This 251-nucleotide long non-coding RNA is filed under the name Agrilus planipennis (emerald ash borer). Its description in RNAcentral is "uncharacterized LOC108740612, transcript variant X1". Lineage: Eukaryota; Metazoa; Arthropoda; Insecta; Coleoptera; Buprestidae. The record is from RNAcentral.
UACAAAGGCAGAUCUGUAACAGAGAAAACGUUCUUCGGAGUUUAUCCUCUGUCCACAGACAGUUACUUUUGUUUUCGACAGCUGAACGAUGAAACAAAUAAAAGAACGAGAGAACAGGGUGCCGUCUAGUAGAUUCAGUCAAGUUGGGGAUCGAUUAAGGCAAAAACUUUACAGCGUUAAGUGAUAAAUGGUGUUCACAAUUAUAAAUAAUUAGUAUGAAUGUACUUUGCUAAAUAAAAAAUUUUACUGCU